GUGCUCGAUUCGGCAGCACAUAUACUAAAAUUGGAACUAUACAGAGAAGAUUAGCAUGCAAGCAUGACAUGCAAAUUCGUGAAGUGUUCCACAAAAAA
This is a small nuclear RNA of Mesocricetus auratus (golden hamster), 98 nucleotides long. NCBI's taxonomy places the organism in Eukaryota, Metazoa, Chordata, Mammalia, Rodentia, Cricetidae. The record is from Ensembl.